Molecule: long non-coding RNA, 1156 nt
Organism: Scophthalmus maximus (turbot)
Lineage: Eukaryota; Metazoa; Chordata; Actinopteri; Pleuronectiformes; Scophthalmidae
Exons: 2
Source: RefSeq, a predicted model, not a curated record
CGUGACAUGUUGACACUUUAUUUCCACACAUUUCCUGAGAGCUAGCUUUGCAGUUAUCUUCCUUGUUUUGACUUCCUCUUCGCAGCGCCGGGGCGCAAUGGUCAAACGAACUGUCUUGUGUCGCGGUGUCAUCACAGUGAGCUCCUGCGAGAGGGGAGAGGAGCGCCGCACUCGGACUCAUCCGCACCAGCGUCCACAGGGCCAUCUCUGGAGUGGCGCGAGACCAGGCCCCCCACUUAGUGUAUUUGACAAGCUGAGCUUGACACUCUGUAUCAGUGAGUGUCAGUUUGUCAAAUACCCCAAGUGAGGUGUCACUUGUCGACACAUCAAGCUCGCCCUGGGGUCACUCCACAGACCGACCUGCCCCCCCCCCUCACGGGACGAUCUGCACACCGGGGACACUGAAGAAACAGGAGGCUGGAGCUGUUGCCCCUGCGAAACUUUUGAGGAUGUAGACGAGGACCAUCUUGUUCGCAGGGGUUAAAGUGGUAAUGCCGAAGGUAGACAGACGUUUAGCCGUUGUUUCAUCUAGUGGAUACAACUGCACAACAUUUAGAAAAGCCUUGUGCAAAAUUACAGUUUCACAGCUUAUUGGCAUGAUCAAUCACUUUAUUUCGCAGUAAUCAUAAUCUAUGUAACUCAUGAAUAAGCAGAGUUUUAACCUGAUGCUAAUGCGGUAUUAUUAAUGUUAAAAAUAUUUUAAAAGCCUGAACCCAACAACAAAUACUGUAUCUCAGCCGUGUGCGCCACAUAUUGUUAUUUCCAUCACACAAUGUACCUCCAAAUAGCUACAAAGGUUCAAAUAACUUGAAAAAUGCGGUUUAAAAACCCAUCGCGUCACUAGUGUGAGGUUUUGAGUGUCAUACACAGAUAUGUUGCCUUGGAUAGAAACAUGAAUGAGUAAAAAUGCACGGGUUUUUGUGAAAGAGCAAAUCGAUGUACUGGUCAAUGUACACUCAGUUUCCACCUACAGUGAUAAUUAACUGUUUAGACAGCUAAAUAUCUGUUACCUGCUCAAGUGUUUGCUUCAUUCAGUAGACUCUCUUUUUUUGUUUAUUUGUUAAGUGUCCUUUCUCUGCCAACGUGUGCGACCACAUGUCUCCGCAAGUGAAAAUGCCAGAAAGCAGCGCAAUAAAAUAUGACCCGUGGCCCUGGA